GAGAAAAUAGAUACUUUUCUUUUCGGUAACCUGGGGGAUCGUCUGACUUGAAGCCUGACAGAACAACUGAAGGAAACGAUCUACUAGGUUAGGCUAGCCUAGCCUAGCCUAACUUGAAAAUCAACUUGUUUGUUGGACGUCAAUCGAUACCUUUGUCCGUUCACCUUGUCUUUUCGCAGAACAACAAUCCAGAUAAUGACCGUGUCUUGCUGUCGAUCUCUGAUAAGUCUGGUC
Macrobrachium nipponense is the source of this 234-nucleotide long non-coding RNA. RefSeq lists it as uncharacterized. NCBI's taxonomy places the organism in Eukaryota, Metazoa, Arthropoda, Malacostraca, Decapoda, Palaemonidae. The record is from RefSeq and is a predicted model, not a curated record. The transcript is spliced from 3 exons.